AGAGACAGCACAGCCGCGGUAAUACAGAGGGUGCGAGCGUUAAUCGGAUUUACUGGGCGUAAAGCGUGCGUAGGCGGCUUCUUAAGUCGGAUGUGAAAUCCCUGAGCUUAACUUAGGAAUUGCAUUCGAUACUGGGAAGCUAGAGUAUGGGAGAGGAUGGUAGAAUUCCAGGUGUAGCGGUGAAAUGCGUAGAGAUCUGGAGGAAUACCGAUGGCGAAGGCAGCCAUCUGGCCUAAUACUGACGCUGAGGUACGAAAGCAUGGGGAGCAAACAGGAUUAGAUACCCCCGUAGUCCCUGUCUCUUAUACA
Molecule: ribosomal RNA, 309 nt
Filed under: uncultured bacterium
Lineage: Bacteria
Description: partial 16S ribosomal RNA
Rfam family: Bacterial small subunit ribosomal RNA
Source: RNAcentral